AGAAUCAACGCUGGCGGCGUGCCUAACACAUGCAAGUCGAACGAGAAAGUGGAGCAAUCCAUGAGUACAGUGGCGCACGGGUGAGUAACACGUGACUAACCUACCCUGGAGUGGGGGAUAACUGAGGGAAACCUUAGCUAAUACCGCAUAACACCUACGGGUCAAAGGAGCAAUUCGCUUCAGGAGGGGUCGCGGCCGAUUAGUUAGUUGGCGGGGUAAUGGCCCACCAAGACGAUGAUCGGUA
RNAcentral lists this ribosomal RNA (244 nucleotides) under uncultured bacterium. RNAcentral describes it as "partial small subunit ribosomal RNA". It matches the Rfam family "Bacterial small subunit ribosomal RNA", at positions 26 to 285 of the family's 1533-position model. The record is from RNAcentral.